UGAAUGAAACAGGGGUGCUAUCGAAGGAUUCGAUUGGCUGAGAAAUACCCUUAACCCGAUCUUGAUAAUACUUGCGUGGGGAGUUUUCAAAACCAGUAU
Molecule: non-coding RNA, 99 nt
Filed under: Polynucleobacter kasalickyi
Lineage: Bacteria; Pseudomonadati; Pseudomonadota; Betaproteobacteria; Burkholderiales; Burkholderiaceae
Also listed under: 1 other name
Description: Polynucleobacter sp. VK13 TPP riboswitch aptamer (THI element)
Rfam family: TPP riboswitch aptamer (THI element)
About the family: Vitamin B(1) in its active form thiamin pyrophosphate (TPP) is an essential coenzyme that is synthesised by coupling of pyrimidine and thiazole moieties in bacteria. The previously detected thiamin-regulatory element, thi box was extended, resulting in a new, highly conserved RNA secondary structure, the THI element, which is widely distributed in eubacteria and also occurs in some archaea.
Source: Rfam by way of RNAcentral